GCGGUCGUGGCGAAGUGGUUAACGCACCGGAUUGUGAUUCCGGCACCCGGGGGUUCAAUUCCCCUCGUCCGCCCCA
RNAcentral lists this transfer RNA (76 nucleotides) under Planococcus sp. ISL-110. RNAcentral describes it as "tRNA-His". It matches the Rfam family "tRNA". From Rfam's summary of the family: Transfer RNA (tRNA) molecules are approximately 80 nucleotides in length. RNAcentral also lists the same sequence under 1 other name. The record is from RNAcentral. Lineage: Bacteria; Bacillati; Bacillota; Bacilli; Caryophanales; Caryophanaceae.